Molecule: ribosomal RNA, 266 nt
Filed under: uncultured prokaryote
Description: partial 16S ribosomal RNA
Rfam family: Archaeal small subunit ribosomal RNA
Source: RNAcentral
GCCGCCGCGGUAAUACCAGCACCCCGAGUGGUCGGGACGAUUAUUGGGCCUAAAGCAUCCGUAGCCGGUACUGCAAGUCUUCCGUUAAAUCCACCUGCUCAACAGUUGGGCUGCGGGGGAUACUACAGCGCUAGGAGGCGGGAGAGGCAAGCGGUACUUAAUGGGUAGGGGUAAAAUCCACUGAUCCAUUGAAGACCACCAGUGGCGAAGGCGGCUUGCCAGAACGCGCUCGACGGUGAGGGAUGAAAGCUGGGGGAGCAAACCGG